This 148-nucleotide unclassified non-coding RNA is filed under the name soil metagenome. RNAcentral's name for it is "partial internal transcribed spacer 1". The record is from RNAcentral.
CCGAGUUUAUAACUCCCAAACCCCUGUGAACAUACCUAUACGUUGCCUCGGCGGAUCAGCCCGCGCCCCGUAAAAAGGGACGGCCCGCCCGAGGACCCCUAAACUCUGUUUUUAGUGGAACUUCUGAGUAAAACAAACAAAUAAAUCA